UACGAGAGGUGCAAGCGUUAUUCGGAAUUAUUGGGCGUAAAGGGCGCGUAGGCGGCUUUAUAAGUUUUUUGUUUAAGAUCCCGGCCUAACCGGGAAAGUGCAAAAAAGACUGUAAGGCUAGAGUAUAAUAGAGAGAAGUGGAAUUUUCGGAGUAGCGGUUAAAUGCGUAGAUCUCGAAAGGAACGCCAAUGGCGAAGGCAGCUUCUUGGAUUAUUACUGACGCUGAGGCGCGAAGGCGUGGGGAGCAAACAGG
This 253-nucleotide ribosomal RNA is filed under the name uncultured bacterium. RNAcentral describes it as "partial 16S ribosomal RNA". It matches the Rfam family "Bacterial small subunit ribosomal RNA", at positions 524 to 776 of the family's 1533-position model. The record is from RNAcentral.